CUUGUUCUUGAAUCCCCAAACCCCUCCUCGUCUUCACUCCCUUCUUCCGCGUCGCAAUCAUUCGUGGGGGCGCAUUACUCCUGCCGCCCCUCAAUCCCGAAUUUCUGCGGCGUCCACUCUCCCGUCUCCCCACUAGGAUUCCGCAAGAUUGAUCGCGUUCGCCGCCUCCCAAUUUCAGUAUCUUUUUCAUCAGGGUCGGCGUCGGCCCGAUUUGUUGCCGUCGUCCUCGUCGCCGCCCCGCCCACCACUCCACUUCUUGGAGGACUCGGUCCUGUCCUGUCCUGACUCCGCUCCACCUGUCCUCCUCGCUUCCAUCGCCAUUGCCGCCCUCCUUGCUCUGCUCCCUCCAAGCCACCUGCUUUUUUGGACCGCACCGGUCUGCCGGGGCGGCGUAAAUGCCCGCCCGUCCGUGCAGAGGAUCCCAGAGCCUUCCUUCUCCGCCCCAAAUCCCGUCCUUGUUGACACCAGGCCAAGGUUCUUGGACGCGUGCUGACCUUACCAGUAUCCACAGAUGAGGAACGCGUCCUGACUCCACUUGCCCAGCUCAGGCGGCUGCUCCGCGAGCUCCGCCACCCACUGACAUGGGCUUCUUGAUCUGCUGCACCCGCCUCCUCCAGCUUCUGCUGCUGCUGCUCGUCCUCACCACCGCCACCCCACCAGUGGCGGCGCAGCCGCAGCCUUCAUCGCCCGCCAGGGCCCUCGACGCGGCGCUACAGGACUACGCGUUCCGUGCGUUGUCGGCGCGCCCGCGCACCGGCAUUGUCUACAACGCCACGGUGCCGGGCAACCUCACUGGCAUCGCGGCGUCCGCGCUGCGCCUGCGGAGCGGCAGCCUCCGACGGAGGGGCUUCCCCGGCUACUUCCAGUUCGCGCUCCCGCCGGGCGUCGUCGUGCAGCCGCACGUCGAGCGGGUGGUGCUCGUGUACCACGACCUCGGCGACUGGUCCGACCGCUACUACCCGCCCCCCGCCGGGUACGCCUACCUCGCGCCGGUCCUGGGGCUGCUCGUCUACGACGCGGCCAACCUGUCGGCCGUGGGGGUGGGGCUGCCGGAGCUCAGCAUCGUCGCGUCGGGGGUGCCGAUUUCUGUGGCGUUCGAUGGUGUCCGGGCGGUGCCGGCAGGCGGCGCGGUGGCGAGGUGUGUUGUGUUCGAUUUGGAUGGCGUGCCGCAGUUCCGGGACCUGGAGGGAACCAAUGUGUGCACGACGUAUCGGCAAGGGCACAUCUCGAUUGUGGUGAAUUCUAGUGAGAUUGCUCCAGCUCCUGCUCCUGCUGGCGUGAUUGCUCCGCCGAUACCGACUGAGGGAGGUGGUAAGAAGGGGAGCUCAGACGCGUGGAAGAUUGCUGUCGGCGUUGUUGGGGGUGCAGCAGCAUUGGGGCUGUUGGCUGCGCUUCUGCUUUGCUUGGUGAGGUACAAAAGGGAUAAGAAGCUUCAGCUCAUGGAACGGAAUGCGGAGGUUGGGGAGACAUUGAGGAUGGCACAGGUUGGGCGGACGCAGGCGCCUGUGGCAUUGGGGACGCGGACACAACCGGUGAUUGAGAACGAUUAUGCUGCAUAGUAGAUUUUUCAAUUUGCUUGAUACUUCUGCUAACAAGAAGACUUGAUAGUGCUGGCUAGAGACAGGAUUGUCCAUUGGUUGCUUGACGUCGGCAAGUUUUCUAUAUCAGCGAGGGCAAUGCUAGCCACUAAUUUCAGAGCCCAGGUUCUGCUCAGUGAGGGUUCAGCACAUUCUUUCGGUGGUGUUCGGAAGCUUAUGUUUUGUACUGCGGCGAAUGGGAGGCUAUUGUUCAUGUUCAUAGUUGCCAUGUUCAUAUGUGGGGAGUCCCUUUCAUCUCCAAGCAAGCAAUGGAGGGGAAAUGUUUGCCAUAUCGGAUUUGGAAUCCCCUAUUAAUUUUUUUAUUGGGUUUCUGUAUUCAAGAGGAAAUGGAUUUGGCAAUAAAGCUGAGGAGUAAUAAGGUGAGGCCAGCCAAGGAUGGCAGACAGAAUGGAUUUGUAUUUGUAGAGUUCCCCAGCUGGACUGCUGGAGCUUGGAAGAGAAAAGAAACAGAAGCAAGGUGACCCCAGAAUUCUUGCUGCUUGUGGAGGUGGCAAAACCAGCAAGGUGUGUUGUUUCUUGUUUGGCUGGAGAAGAGAAGACAGGGAGCAGCUGUGGUGCCUCUGUCUGAGUUCAUCAGGCUUUUUGGAGGGAGUUGUAGCUGGCUGUGGUGGCGUGUGCCGUGGCGCCUCAGCUUUGGCGCCGUAGCGGAAUCUUUGCUGUCACUAUGCACGGAUUCACAGCUCAUUGGCAUCUGCUGCUCGCCUCUGCUCUGGAAUGCUUGUUUUGUAAUGGGAAGGAUGCAGCUGUAGUGUGUACUGGAGUGUUAAAUUAACUGACUGUUGUUGGAGUACCCUAUGCAGUUUGUUUUGUGCUGGUUAACACAUAGCCUUUCUGAGUUCCUGCUAACCUCCACUUCCAUUUCUCCCUGCUGUUAAUCCGAGUGAUGAACUGCCUUCACCACCAUCUAAAAAUGCGGUCUACAGUCUUGAACACUAGUUUUUUCAUAUCUCAACUUUUCACCCAUGUUUUGGAUAUAAAAGGGGAAAAAAGAACUUUAUAUUGAAAA
This is an RNA transcript of Sorghum bicolor (sorghum), 2604 nucleotides long. RefSeq lists it as uncharacterized. The record is from RefSeq and is a predicted model, not a curated record. The transcript has 2 exons. Lineage: Eukaryota; Viridiplantae; Streptophyta; Magnoliopsida; Poales; Poaceae.